GGCUCUUUGGAAUAGAUAUAUAAAGAGUCGAACCUGCCCAGUGAUUUUUUUAAACGGCCGCGGUACUCUGACCGUGCAAAGGUAGCAUAAUCAUUUGCCCUAUAAUUGAGGGCUUGUAUGAACGGUUUGACAAGAGCAUAACUGUCUCUUAAAAAUUCUAUAGAAUUUGGUUUUUAGGUGAAGAAACCUAAAUAUAAUUGAAAGACAAGAAGACCCUAUCGAGCUUUAGAGCAAUUAAUUAAAAAAUAUAAUUAAAACAAUUAAUUUUAAUUAAAAACUUUGGUUGGGGCGACUGAGGAACAUAUAAAGCUUCUUUAAUUAGAAUACGCUUAUAGGCUAUGAUCCAAAAAGUUUGAUUAAAAAAAUUAGUUACCGUAGGGAUAACAGCAUAAUCUUUUUCAAGAGUUCUUAUCGAAAAAAAGGUUUGUGACCUCGAUGUUGGACUAGGAUAUCUCAAAGAUGCAGAAGUCUUUAAUAGUUGGUCUGUUCGACCAUUAAAAUCCU
RNAcentral lists this ribosomal RNA (504 nucleotides) under Neotricula aperta. RNAcentral's name for it is "partial 16S large subunit ribosomal RNA". It matches the Rfam family "Bacterial large subunit ribosomal RNA", at positions 1817 to 2597 of the family's 2925-position model. Lineage: Eukaryota; Metazoa; Mollusca; Gastropoda; Littorinimorpha; Pomatiopsidae. The record is from RNAcentral.